This 592-nucleotide ribosomal RNA is filed under the name Citrobacter sp. RNAcentral describes it as "bacterial SSU rRNA". It matches the Rfam family "Bacterial small subunit ribosomal RNA", at positions 71 to 661 of the family's 1533-position model. Lineage: Bacteria; Pseudomonadati; Pseudomonadota; Gammaproteobacteria; Enterobacterales; Enterobacteriaceae. The record is from RNAcentral.
ACCUUGCUGCUUUGCUGGACGAGUGGCGGACGGGUGAGUAAUGUCUGGGAAACUGCCCGAUGGAGGGGGAUAACUACUGGAAACGGUAGCUAAUACCGCAUAAUGUCGCAAGACCAAAGAGGGGGACCUUCGGGCCUCUUGCCAUCGGAUGUGCCCAGAUGGGAUUAGCUUGUUGGUGAGGUAACGGCUCACCAAGGCGACGAUCCCUAGCUGGUCUGAGAGGAUGACCAGCCACACUGGAACUGAGACACGGUCCAGACUCCUACGGGAGGCAGCAGUGGGGAAUAUUGCACAAUGGGCGCAAGCCUGAUGCAGCCAUGCCGCGUGUAUGAAGAAGGCCUUCGGGUUGUAAAGUACUUUCAGCGGGGAGGAAGGGGUUAAGGUUAAUAACCUUAGCCAUUGACGUUACCCGCAGAAGAAGCACCGGCUAACUCCGUGCCAGCAGCCGCGGUAAUACGGAGGGUGCAAGCGUUAAUCGGAAUUACUGGGCGUAAAGCGCACGCAGGCGGUCUGUCAAGUCGGAUGUGAAAUCCCCGGGCUCAACCUGGGAACUGCAUUCGAAACUGGCAUGCUUGAGUCUCGUAGAGCGGGG